UUAAGGUCUAACCUGCCCAAUGAGGAUUUAAAUGGCCGCAGUAUUUUGACUGUGCAAAGGUAGCAUAAUUAUUAGUUUUUUAAUUAAAAGCUUGUAUGAAGGGUUGGACGAGAUAAAAUCUGUCUUUAUUUAAAUUAAGAUAAAAUUUAACUUUUAAGUCAAAAGGCUUAAAUUUUUAUAAAAGACGAGAAGACCCUAUAGAUCUUUAUUUAGUUUAAAUUUUAAUAAUUUAGGAUUAUUUUAAUUUAAAGUUAAGGCUAAAUUUUAUUGGGGUAAUAUAGAGAUUUAAUAAAUUCUUUUUUAUUUAUAACAUUGAUUUAUGAAUUUAUGAUCCAUUAAUAUUGAUUAUAAGAUUAAGUUACCUUAGGGAUAACAGCGUAAUUUUUUUGGAGAGCUCAUAUCGAUAAAAAAGUUUGCGACCUCGAUGUUGGAUUAAAAAUUAGCCCGGGUGAAGAAGUUCGGGAUUUUGGUCUGUUCGACCAUUAAAUUUUUACAUGAUCUGAGUUCAGACCGGCGUAAGCCAGGUCGGUUUCUAUCUUUAUUUAAUUAAAAUAUUUUAGUACGAAAGGACCAAAUAUUUAAUAUAAUUAUAUUUUUUAUUUGAAUGAUAUUGUUACUUUGGCAGAUUAGUGCAAUGAAUUUAGAAUUCAUGAAUGA
This 657-nucleotide ribosomal RNA is filed under the name Stenocosmia angusta. RNAcentral describes it as "partial 16S ribosomal RNA". It matches the Rfam family "Bacterial large subunit ribosomal RNA", at positions 1845 to 2786 of the family's 2925-position model. Lineage: Eukaryota; Metazoa; Arthropoda; Insecta; Coleoptera; Carabidae. The record is from RNAcentral.